This 160-nucleotide long non-coding RNA is filed under the name Bos mutus (wild yak). Its description in RNAcentral is "FAS antisense RNA 1 conserved region (ENSBMUG00000016668.1)". It matches the Rfam family "FAS antisense RNA 1 conserved region". Lineage: Eukaryota; Metazoa; Chordata; Mammalia; Artiodactyla; Bovidae. The record is from RNAcentral.
CAGUCUUGGUUGCUUUGACAAUCUCUUCGUUCUAGGAACAACAAUUCCAACUAGUAUAGCAAAAUUAUCAAAGCCCAGAGCUACACUUUACUUUUGCUAUAGUGUCUCUACCAGGGGUGCCUGUUUAAAACACCAAGGAAACUGCUUUUCUGAAAGAAUG